RNAcentral lists this long non-coding RNA (261 nucleotides) under Mus spicilegus (steppe mouse). Its description in RNAcentral is "lncRNA (ENSMSIG00000020708.1)". Lineage: Eukaryota; Metazoa; Chordata; Mammalia; Rodentia; Muridae. The record is from RNAcentral.
CUGACAUUGCCCAGCAAGGCAGUCUAAGCAAACAGAGUGGCAAUGACCUUGUAAUGACACUGUUUACAACACACUUGCCAAGAAGGCGAGGAGGCCAUCAUCCGGGGACUACUGCAUCAUCAAAAAAACCACCUGCUCAGCGCCAACUCAGAACCACUCCCUCUCCUCUCAAAGUCCACGUGGUCUCCCAGGAGAAUGGCAAAACAUGAUAAGUCUCUGCGGCCUUCUUCCAUCACGUGACAGAAAAUUUCAGAUGGAGAG